This 537-nucleotide ribosomal RNA is filed under the name uncultured bacterium. RNAcentral's name for it is "bacterial SSU rRNA". It matches the Rfam family "Bacterial small subunit ribosomal RNA", at positions 772 to 1325 of the family's 1533-position model. The record is from RNAcentral.
ACCCAAUAGAUACCCGGGUAGUCCACGCCGUAAACGAUGGAUGCUAGCUGUGUGGAGUAUCGACCCUCUGCGUAGCAAAAAGCUAACGCGUUAAGCAUCCCACCUGUGGAGUACGAGCGCAAGCUUAAAACAUAAAGGAAUUGACGGGGACCCGCACAAGCGGUGGAGCGUGUUGUUUAAUUCGAUGAUAAGCGAAGAACCUUACCCAGGUUUGACAUCCUGCUAAUCUUUCCGAAAGGAGAGAGUGCCUUCGGGCCGCAGUGACAGGUGCUGCAUGGCCGUCGAAAGCUCGUGUCGUGAGAUGUUUGGUUUAGUCCAUCAACGAGCGCAACCCCUGUAGUUAGUUGGAUUUUUCUAGCUAGACUGCCUCGGUAACGGGGAGGAAGGAGGGGAAGACGUCAGGUCAGUAUUGCCCUUACACCUGGGGCUACAAACACGCUACAAUGGCCGGUACAAGGGCUGCCAACCCGCAAGGGGAGCAAUCCCAUCAAAGCCGGUCUCAGUUCGGAUUGCAGGCUGAAACUCGCCUGCAUGAAG